Molecule: ribosomal RNA, 734 nt
Filed under: Daphnia pulex (common water flea)
Lineage: Eukaryota; Metazoa; Arthropoda; Branchiopoda; Diplostraca; Daphniidae
Description: LSU rRNA
Rfam family: Eukaryotic large subunit ribosomal RNA
Source: RNAcentral
GACCCGUCUUGAAACACGGACCAAGGAGUCUAACAUGUGCGCAAGUCGUCGAGAAAUUAUCAAACUAAACUCGCGAGGCGCAAUGAAAGUGAAGCGGCCCCGAUGAGGGUGCAUCCGCGAGGGGUGAUCCCGUCUCGAACAGAGCGGGCGCAACCCCUGGGCGUCCGAAUGCUCGCGAGAUCUUUCCCCCUUAAAAGGGUUUGGUCGAGUCGGCCGGACGAACCUAGAGCGCACACGUUGGGACCCGAAAGAUGGUGACCUAUGCCUGGCCAGGACGAAGCCAGGGGAAACCCUGGUGGAGGUCCGCAGCGAUUCUGACGUGCAAAUCGAUCGUCGGAGUUGGGUAUAGGGGCGAAAGACUAAUCGAACCAUCUAGUAGCUGGUUCCCCCCGAAGUUUCCCUCAGGAUAGCUGGUGCUCGCAAAGAGAACAAACGGAGUUUCAUCCGGUAAAGCGAAUGAUUAGAGGCCUUGGGGUCGAAACGACCUCAACCUAUUCUCAAACUUUCAAUGGGUGAGAAGCCCGGCCUUUUUCCUUGAUUGAGGCCGCGGCAAUUGAUUUGAAUCUGAGCGCCCAGUGGGCCAUUUUUGGUAAGCAGAACUGGCGCUGUGGGAUGAACCAAACGCCCGGUUAAGGCGCCUAAACGACGCACAUUUCGGAUCCCACGAAAAGGAGUUGGUUGCUAAAGACAGCAGGACGGUGGCCAUGGAGGUCGGAAUCCGCUAAGGAGUGUGU